CCUACGGGAGGCUGCAGUGGGGAAUAUUGGACAAUGGGCGAAAGCCUGAUCCAGCCAUGCCGCGUGUGUGAAGAAGGCCUUCGGGUUGUAAAGCACUUUCAGUGGGGAAGAAAGCCUUGGGGCUAAUACCCUCGAGGAAGGACAUCACCCACAGAAGAAGCACCGGCUAACUCCGUGCCAGCAGCCGCGGUAAUACGGAGGGUGUGAGCGUUAAUCGGAAUUACUGGGCGUAAAGCGCGCGUAGGCGGUCUGAUAAGCCGGUUGUGAAAGCCCCGGGCUCAACCUGGGAACGGCAUCCGGAACUGUCAGGCUAGAGUGCAGGAGAGGAAGGUAGAAUUCCCGGUGUAGCAGUGAAAUGCGUAGAGAUCGGGAGGAAUACCAGUGGCGAAGGCGGCCUUCUGGACUGACACUGACGCUGAGGUGCGAAAGCGUGGGUAGCAAACAGGAUUAGAUACCCGAGUAGUC
RNAcentral lists this ribosomal RNA (465 nucleotides) under Vreelandella stevensii. Its description in RNAcentral is "partial 16S ribosomal RNA". It matches the Rfam family "Bacterial small subunit ribosomal RNA", at positions 338 to 795 of the family's 1533-position model. The record is from RNAcentral. Lineage: Bacteria; Pseudomonadati; Pseudomonadota; Gammaproteobacteria; Oceanospirillales; Halomonadaceae.